This 497-nucleotide ribosomal RNA is filed under the name uncultured bacterium. Its description in RNAcentral is "partial 16S ribosomal RNA". It matches the Rfam family "Bacterial small subunit ribosomal RNA", at positions 899 to 1397 of the family's 1533-position model. The record is from RNAcentral.
ACUCAAAUGAAUUGACGGGGGCCCGCACAAGCGGUGGAGUAUGUGGUUUAAUUCGAUGCAACGCGAAGAACCUUACCUACUUUUGACAUGUACUGGAAGACUGGCAGAAAUGUCGUCGCCCGCAAGGGCCGGUACACAGGUGCUGCAUGGCUGUCGUCAGCUCGUGUCGUGAGAUGUUGGGUUAAGUCCCGCAACGAGCGCAACCCUUGCUUUUAGUUGCCAGCAUUUAGUUGGGCACUCUAGAAGGACUGCCGACGUUAAGUCGGAGGAAGGUGGGGAUGACGUCAAGUCCUCAUGGCCCUUAUAAGUAGGGCUACACACGUACUACAAUGGUAGACACAGAGGGAAGCCAAGUCGCAAGAUGGAGCUAAUCCCUAAAAAGCUAUCUAAGUUCAGAUUGAAGUCUGCAACUCGACUUCAUGAAGGCGGAAUCGCUAGUAAUCGCGGAUCAGAAUGCCGCGGUGAAUACGUUCCCGGGCCUUGUACACACCGCCCGU